RNAcentral lists this ribosomal RNA (194 nucleotides) under uncultured Isochrysis. RNAcentral describes it as "partial Bacterial small subunit ribosomal RNA". It matches the Rfam family "Bacterial small subunit ribosomal RNA", at positions 466 to 659 of the family's 1533-position model. Lineage: Eukaryota; Haptophyta; Isochrysidales. The record is from RNAcentral.
CUAAUGACGGUACCGUAAGAAUAAGCACCGGCUAACUACGUGCCAGCAGCCGCGGUAAUACGUAGGGUGCAAGCGUUAAUCGGAAUUACUGGGCGUAAAGCGUGCGCAGGCGGUUAUAUAAGACAGAUGUGAAAUCCCCGGGCUCAACCUGGGAACUGCAUCCAAAACUGGCAAGCUAGAGUAGGGCAGAGGGU